GUUGCUUCUCCGUGUGCUGUGGAAGCUGAGAGGGCUGUGAUGAAUGCAGCGGGCACGGGGAAGUGUCCUGGAUGAGGCAGCUGAAUGAUGUCCCGCAGACCUGGCUGCUGCCAGAAACUUGCUCCGUCAGCCUGCGAAGGUCGUUUAACCCCGACGUUUUGCAUGGGGCUGCUAAAUGUAUGCUGCUCAUUUUGGCGUCUGCUUGCCAGAGCACAGAGCUCCUGCUGCUGGGAUGUGAACCCAGAAGAGCCAUGCAGUGCUGGGGAUGGAAAGCUGCCGCUUCCCGCUGGGUGUGGCAGGAUCACACGGAUCGUCUGGCAGCCUCCUGACAGUGAGCCUCAGGGUCCUGCAGCCCAUUGCUGGUCCUGGACAGCCAGCAGUGCUGGUUGGUGCAAACCACUCUGCCUACUUCCCUGCAGCUCGUCCGUUCUCCAGUUCUCUCUGUUUUGAUGGUUCCAACCGCCGCUAUUCAGGCUGGUACAGAAGGAAGCCCCUUCUCCUAGAGCCUCCAUCCUCCUGAGAGGAGAUGACAAUUGCAAGACACAGAGCAGGAUGUGCCAUGCAGCGAGCCUCUGUGCUGCACUGCUGUCCAAGUGACUCUGACAAGGCACCUUUCUGCUGGCUGCACUGCCUGGCUGCCUCUGCUUCCCACCCAGCCACAGCACACCUUUAUUUCCACUCAUUUGGUGGCACUGCUGAAUUCGAUGUGGUUUGCUCAGGUAGGGUUUUACUUUCAGCUUCCACCGCCUUUGCUGGAGGUGUCUUCCAAGUGGCAUCAGGGUUUUCUCACCCUCAGCUUUCCUUUCUCUUCUUCAAAGAUGUGUCUUCUUCUAACAGUUCUGUUUGGAUUCCCUCCCUAUACACGGGCUUCUACCCCUUUGACAAGGCUCAUUUUUCAGGACAGAGGUUAUACUUCUCAUCAAAAUGCUGGCAAAGAUAA
RNAcentral lists this long non-coding RNA (940 nucleotides) under Numida meleagris (helmeted guineafowl). Its description in RNAcentral is "lncRNA (ENSNMEG00000021546.1)". Lineage: Eukaryota; Metazoa; Chordata; Aves; Galliformes; Numididae. The record is from RNAcentral.